GACGAACGCUGGCGGCGUGCUUAACACAUGCAAGUCGAACGGAAAGGCCUGUCCUUCCUUGUGUUGGACGGGUACUCGAGUGGCGAACGGGUGAGUAACACGUGAGUGAUCUGCCCCCAACUUGGGUAUAAGCCUGGGAAACUGGGUCUAAUUCCCGAUAGGACUGCAGGGUGGUGCCUGUGGUGGAAAACGAUUUUCUAGUGGUUGGGGAUGAGCUCGCGGCCUAUCAGCUUGUUGGUGGGGUAAUGGCCUACCAAGGCGGCGACGGGUAGCCGGCCUGAGAGGGUGGACGGCCACAUUGGGACUGAGAUACGGCCCAGACUCCUACGGGAGGCAGCAGUGGGGAAUAUUGCACAAUGGGAGGAAGCCUGAUGCAGCGACGCCGCGUGGGGGAUGACGGCCUUCGGGUUGUAAACUCCUUUCGACCGCGAGGAAGCCGCCUGGUUGGAAGGGUGGUGACGGUAGUGGUAGAAGAAGCACCGGCUAACUACGUG
This 494-nucleotide ribosomal RNA is filed under the name uncultured bacterium. Its description in RNAcentral is "partial 16S ribosomal RNA". It matches the Rfam family "Bacterial small subunit ribosomal RNA", at positions 28 to 507 of the family's 1533-position model. The record is from RNAcentral.